Quercus lobata is the source of this 855-nucleotide long non-coding RNA. RefSeq lists it as uncharacterized. NCBI's taxonomy places the organism in Eukaryota, Viridiplantae, Streptophyta, Magnoliopsida, Fagales, Fagaceae. The transcript has 2 exons. The record is from RefSeq and is a predicted model, not a curated record.
AGGUAGCCUUUGUCUGAACCUCUGAUGUGCUUCAGCUGGUGUUGUAGUUGAACUUUGUUCAGAGGCUAAAAAUAUAUGGAAUCAUUAGCUUACAGGCAGGUUAUUUAUUUAACACAUUAGCAGGAUGGGAGUUCUGUACACCAACCAGCAUUAUUUUGGACAAUGAAAUCUUCACAGUAAUGAAGCAGGUACUCAUCAUAAAGAUCAAGCAGGUCAGAAACUGCCAUAUUUGGGUAAAUAACAUCACGGACCUCUUCCCACAAUCCUUCCUUCUCAAUCUGCAUGAUUGUUCACAGGCACACAGUGUCAAUAAAGAUGGCUUUACAAGGUCACUUUUCUAGCCAGAGUAAAAGGUUUUUGUGGAAGUAAUUUUAGGCUGCAUUGAGUUAAUUUCUGGAGGAGAUGGAUUUUGAUACUUGGACAUACACUUUUGAUUGGAUAAUUCCAUUUUAAUAUCCAACAAUGUGCAAUUCUUAUCUUACUCUUUGGAGGCAGGUAUAAGGCCAUAUUAUCAAAGCAUUAAACAGUUGACCAUAGAUUGAUAGAAUGGAUGAAAAGUAUGGCUUACUUGGGCUCUUUUGUAACAAUAUCCUGCAUCUGUCUGACUGUGUCAAAGAAGAUCUCUCUAUCUGUUAUAUCAGUGGUACCAGGGCAAGCAACUUUUUCGAUAGCUAGUCGGACAAAGUGAGCAUUGUAAGUGCUCCACCCCAAUGGAGAAGACUCCGAAGAGGUUGUCGCCAACUCCUUCCCUUUUGUUCUAUCUGCCUCUCUCUGAUGGUCAGUCAUUUCCUAUGUAAAGACUUGAUUGAAUAAUACGUUGGUCACUGCCCAAUAAGGAAAAUGAGUUCAUUUGAA